CACCGGAUAUCUAUGCCAAAAGAUGAGAGAGUUGAAAGUACUCCAAGCAAACCUCCCUAGAUGAAUUAGAUGAAAGUCUAAUAUUCCAAGAUAAAAUUCUAAAAUUGAAAUAAGUAGGUACAAUUCUAUUUUUCUUUUUGCUAUUCUUAAAGGGAGAGGGGAACAAGCAUUGAAGAGGAGCAUUACAAAUCCAGCUGUCCUUCCAGAAGAGCAUGUUCUGAC
RNAcentral lists this long non-coding RNA (222 nucleotides) under Elaeis guineensis (African oil palm). RNAcentral's name for it is "long non-coding RNA (EGUI_LNC037844)". Lineage: Eukaryota; Viridiplantae; Streptophyta; Magnoliopsida; Arecales; Arecaceae. The record is from RNAcentral.